GUGAACGCUGGCGGUCGGCCUAACCCAUGCAAGUCGCACGGCAGCACAGUAAGAGCUUGCUCUUACGGGUGGCGAGUGGCGGACGGGUGAGGAAUACAUCGGAAUCUACUUUUUCGUGGGGGAUAACGUAGGGAAACUUACGCUAAUACCGCAUACGACCUACGGGUGAAAGCAGGGGGUCUUCGGACCUUGCGCGAUUGAAUGAGCCGAUGUCGGAUUAGCUAGUUGGCGGGGUAAAGGCCCACCAAGGCGACGAUCCGUAGCUGGUCUGAGAGGAUGAUCAGCCACACUGGAACUGAGACACGGUCCAGACUCCUACGGGAGGCAGCAGUGGGGAAUAUUGGACAAAGGGCGCAAGCCUGAUCCAGCCAUACCGCGUGGGUGAAGAAGGCCUUCGGGUUGUGAAGCCCUUUUGUUGGGAAAGAAAAGCAGCAGGUUAAUACCCCGCUGUUCUGACGGUACCCAAAGAAUAAGCACCGGCUAACUUCGUG
Molecule: ribosomal RNA, 491 nt
Filed under: uncultured bacterium
Lineage: Bacteria
Description: partial 16S ribosomal RNA
Rfam family: Bacterial small subunit ribosomal RNA
Source: RNAcentral